AACUGGCCACUGCCAAGAUAACUUAGGCCACGCUGUUGCCUAGAGCCCGUCCUCCUGAGAGUUGAUUUCCUCAAAUUCCUGCCCCGAUCACACCAGCUCUGGGCUGGUGGGCUGCAGGCCACAGUUCAGAUCAGGGCUGGUAGCCAGAGAGGGGAGUCUGGCCCUCCACAUGGGCGAUGGAGUGGUGAAGCAAGGAGGUGUCUGGGACCAGGAUCGCACAAGUGACCAGCUAAAGAAAGAAACCACCCUCCCACACCCCAGCACAUGCUUUUACCCAGAGAAACUCUGGCGGGCACAGCUCUGCGGUCGAUCCAGAAGGACACCCAGGACAGCAUGACCAUCAGUGUAGCAGGAAAAUAAGUUUGGAGCAAGAAGAAGAAAAUGUGGCGUCGCAACGUGAAGUUAAUGUACAGACGGUUGUACCAGCCUGGGGGACACAAGAAGCAGCCAGUGAGGUUUAGUUCGAGAGGCAAGAACAAACUGUUCCUUAGGAGAGCCCCCCCCCCACCAUUGCUCUGAUCUUCAGGAGAAAGUUAAUGAUCCAUUGACUUACCCUACUACAUCUCCUCUCUAAUAUCUAAGCCCUCUCUCCUAUUAACAAGGAUCUUGCCACUACGUGUUCUGUUUUAUUCAACAUUACCUAACCUCUCUUCUCUUCCCCUAACAUUUUGGGGGAAGGUAGAGAGAGAGCUAGGGUUAGCUGCUUGUUUGGUAUUUGUUAUUUUCCACCCACAACUGUAUUUCCUGAGGACUCACUACUCAGGAAGCUAAGAAGCGGGACUGGUUCCAUUUUGUUGAGGCCAAUACCACUGGGGCAGGAGCCGGUGGAGCUGCUGUAGGACUGUCCCCUUUGUCAUACGUUGGGUCCGCUCAGCCUGUCUCCAUUGCAUCACCAGAUGGAUGGUUGUCAACAAGGACUAAAACGGCUGCGGGGUGCUUUGAAGGUGCCAGAAGUGGAAUGGUCGGUGUGGGGAGGAGUCCUCCUCCUUAGGGCUGACUAGUCUGCCUUUCUCCCCCAGUGGGGCUUGCAACACAAGGGGGGUCUGCAGGCAGCCUGGUCAGAGUUCUCUCCUGGUACCCAGACCCUGCUCCCCUGUCCCGGGGCCACGUGCUCCCAGCAUAGCCGCUGGGGAAGUGGGACUGGUUAAUUUCCUCAUCCUGUGGACCCUCUGUUAGUCAGAGAUGUUACAAUGGCCCAGAGUCCAAACUGCUAACUUUGAUAGCCCUGUAUUUCACGGGGGUUUGCUGUGCAUGAUCCGCUCUGCUUUCCCCUCCUUUUCUUUCUCUAAAGUGCCACAUGAUCUGCCACGUCCAGUUGUCCCAAGAGCCAAAGGGGAAAAAAAACAAUACAACCAUCACCUUCUUUGGACCUACCUCCCAGUGGCCUGGUUUUCAGAUAAUGGGCACAGUGUUUGAAUAGGAGCUGGUUUUGGCAAAGGAUAUGUUCAAGAUAAACUAUAUCAGCUUGCUUUGAGUGUGAAACUGUGUCACUCUGUUCUCAGGGCCUGGCCUGCUCUCCACAGCUCCAACUGCCCUUCUAAGAGAAAUCUGAUAAUGCCUGUGAGGGUGGCAUCAGUGCUCUGGAGGUCCUGCCCAUGUGGGAGGGCAGGCCAAGUUCUCUGGAGACCUGGAUUGGUAGAGGUGUCACAAUCUUCCACAGAUCCAUUGCAGCUUACUCUCAACAAGACCUUCCAUGUAUGUGAGCUUCCUAAAUUCUCCACACCUUCACCGACUGCCUGGUUUAUCCUUUCAGACCUGCAUUGCCCACGUCCGUUAGACCGUGCCCUGAGGGGUGCAGUUGGGAGAACGGAGACCACGAAGACACAGCGGCUUUCUCCAGCCUGGAGGAGAAAAAGCCCCUCGCAUCCACGCUGGCUGGCCUCUGCCAUGAAGUAUGUGGCCUGGACCGACCCCGCGGACUGGCGUCUGCUGAGAUGGAACAGACUUCACAGGUCUUUUGACAAAUCCACAGUCCUGGCUUUUGUCUCCGUAGCAAAACCCUCCCACCUGGUGGCCUCUGUGUGCAGACCUGAAGCCUGUGCUGGUCUGCUGGUCACUUCAGCAUUCUGUAUCAACUCACUAAGACCACAAACACACACACACACACACACACACACGCACUCUCUCUCAUGUUAUCCCAGGGCAGUGAGCCAUCAGCCUCCCUCCCCUACCACAUCCAACAUAGU
Neogale vison (American mink) is the source of this 2186-nucleotide long non-coding RNA. RefSeq lists it as uncharacterized. Lineage: Eukaryota; Metazoa; Chordata; Mammalia; Carnivora; Mustelidae. The record is from RefSeq and is a predicted model, not a curated record. The transcript has 5 exons.